This 344-nucleotide RNase P RNA is filed under the name Clostridia bacterium. Its description in RNAcentral is "RNase P RNA component class A". It matches the Rfam family "Bacterial RNase P class A". Rfam says of the family: Ribonuclease P (RNase P) is a ubiquitous endoribonuclease, found in archaea, bacteria and eukarya as well as chloroplasts and mitochondria. Its best characterised activity is the generation of mature 5'-ends of tRNAs by cleaving the 5'-leader elements of precursor-tRNAs. Cellular RNase Ps are ribonucleoproteins. The record is from RNAcentral. Lineage: Bacteria; Bacillati; Bacillota; Clostridia.
CAAGUAUGCCAGAUGGUCGCGGGCACGGUACGAAAGAAAGUGUCUGAGGAAAGUCCGGGCUCCGCAGGGCAGGAUGCCGGUUAACGGCCGGUGAAGGUGACUUCAAGGAAAGUGCAACAGAAAACAACCGCCCGCUUUUUGAGGGUAAGGGUGAAAAGGCGAGGUAAGAGCUCACCGCCGCUGUGGUAACACGGCGGGCAGUGUAAACCCCAUCCGGAGCAACACCGCGAAAGGGACGCUAAGUUGGCCCGACAGUCCCAAAGGUGGCUAAAGAUGCGCGGUAACGCGUAUUCGCAGAUAGAUGACCAUCCGAUACAGAACCCGGCUUACGGCAUGCUUGCAUU